GAACCCUAGAUCAGCUCCUUGCC
This 23-nucleotide non-coding RNA is filed under the name Arabidopsis thaliana (thale cress). The record is from RNAcentral. Lineage: Eukaryota; Viridiplantae; Streptophyta; Magnoliopsida; Brassicales; Brassicaceae.